UAAGGAAUAUUGGUCAAUGGGCGGAAGCCUGAACCAGCCAUCCCGCGUGCAGGAUGAAGGCCCUAUGGGUUGUAAACUGCUUUAGACUGAGAAGAAACCCCUCAAUGCGUUGGGGGCUGACGGUAUCAGUAGAAUAAGCACCGGCUAACUCCGUGCCAGCAGCCGCGGUAAUACGGAGGGUGCAAGCGUUAUCCGGAAUCACUGGGUUUAAAGGGUGCGUAGGCGGCUUGAUAAGUCAGAGGUGAAAGCCCGCAGCUUAACUGCGGAACUGCCUUUGAUACUGUUGAGCUUGAAACAGGACGAGGUUGGCGGAAUGUGGCAUGUAGCGGUGAAAUGCAUAGAUAUGCCAUAGAACACCGAUUGCGAAGGCAGCUGGCUAGACCUGAUUUGACGCUGAGGCAC
Molecule: ribosomal RNA, 402 nt
Filed under: uncultured bacterium
Lineage: Bacteria
Description: bacterial SSU rRNA
Rfam family: Bacterial small subunit ribosomal RNA
Source: RNAcentral